RNAcentral lists this ribosomal RNA (497 nucleotides) under uncultured bacterium. RNAcentral's name for it is "partial 16S ribosomal RNA". It matches the Rfam family "Bacterial small subunit ribosomal RNA", at positions 28 to 507 of the family's 1533-position model. The record is from RNAcentral.
GAUGAACGCUGGCGGCGUGCCUAAUACAUGCAAGUCGAGCGAACAGACGAGGAGCUUGCUCCUCUGACGUUAGCGGCGGACGGGUGAGUAACACGUGGAUAACCUACCUAUAAGACUGGGAUAACUUCGGGAAACCGGAUCUAAUACCGGAUAAUAUAUUGAACCGCAUGGUUCAAUAGUGAAAGACGGUUUUGCUGUCACUUAUAGAUGGAUCCGCGCCGCAUUAGCUAGUUGGUAAGGUAACGGCUUACCAAGGCGACGAUGCGUAGCCGACCUGAGAGGGUGAUCGGCCACACUGGAACUGAGACACGGUCCAGACUCCUACGGGAGGCAGCAGUAGGGAAUCUUCCGCAAUGGGCGAAAGCCUGACGGAGCAACGCCGCGUGGGUGAUGAAGGUCUUCGGAUCGUAAAACUCUGUUAUUAGGGAAGAACAAAAGUAUAAGUAACUAUGCACGUCUUGACGGUACCUAAUCAGAAAGCCACGGCUAACUACGUG